GGUUCUUCUCAUUGAGGGAGACACUGGUUCGGGUAAGACUAUACAAUUACCACAAUAUCUCCAUGGAGCUGCUUUGAAAGGAAAGAGCAAAGAGCAAGUUGAGGCGCUGUCAAAAAGAGUUGUCUCAUCGUGCGGCUGUGCCAGGAUGUACAAGGAUGGUAGCAUCAUUCCAUUAGAUGAUUAUUUGUGUGUUUGCCGCAAAUAUUUCAUACAUGCUGGGAUAUGGUAGUCCCAGAUGAAGAGCUCCUGAGGCUUUAUCUCACCAUGCCGUUGAGUAUGUUGGUUGUGGAGAGAGAGAGAGAGAGAGAUGAAAUGGCUGAGGAUAGAGAGCUAUUAGAACCAGUAGCUACAACACAAAGCAAGCCGCAGGAAAUAUCAAGUUACUCUUACCGAAGCAAGCACAUGCAUUGUAUGGAGAAUUAGGGUUCCUGGAGCUUCGAACUCAAAGCCAUGGGUCCUUAUCUAUCUAUGGUCCAAUUUACUCGCUCAGGAUUGAUAGAAUUGCUCGUGUUGCCUUCGAGACUGCUCGGAAACGGCGUGGCAAGCUGUGUACUGCUGACAAAGCUAAUGUCUAUGGCCUCAAUUUAUGGAAGAAACGAGUAAGAGAGCCUCUGAAUAUCCUGAUGUUGAGCUGUCACAUAUGUAUGUUGACAAUACUGCGAUGACCGGCCAACAGCUUCAAUGAUCACAGGAAGCAUUGGAAUGCUGGCAUGCCGUCUAUUGCUCAAGUAUUUCUAAUUGGCCAGAUUCUUCUUGUCCAUGUGUCGAUAUUGCCAACAGCGACCUGAAAAUUCAGUAUGUUGUGUUCGGCAAACAACGGAAAAUUUCUGAAUGUGUGUUAUAUAUGUCAAAUGAUUACUUACACAAUCUCAUCAAGCACCGCUUGGGAGAUCUUUCCUACCGUGUCUCAGAAGUUCGAAGACCCAGCAGAAGGGGAGGAUACGCUGGUGGCAAAAAUUCAAGAAAUUAUACGACCAUCUCAGUACUGGAUUCCGUGCCUUGGUGGAUGGAACUCGGUUACGAGCCAAUACUGCACCCAAGCAAUGGCCAAGGAAUAGCCUUCAAUCGGGCUCUUACUUAAGCUGUCUAACUUCCUUUAUUUGGUGUUUUCGAAUAUCUGGUUCUUGGUGUUGUUUUUAUGGACCUUUGCCAACUUCUCGUCCAAAGCGUGGGGAUCACAGGGCCAAGGUUGGUUCUUGUCAUUGUGGAAGACACUGGUUCGGGAAAGACUACACAAUAUCUCCAUGAAGCUGGUUGAAAGGUACUACCUACUACUUGCCCCAACUACACAAUAUUUCUUUUGCAGGCUGCUGGGAUCACAGGUGUUUCAGCUCGCUAGGUCUCACAGCUUUAUGGAGUGGUGCCUCCUAUUCUAAAUGAGCUGGGAAAGGUCCGGAACCUGUGGCCUAACGUCGAUUCUCAUAGCGGAGUGCUGCUGAGUUAGCUUUUGUACCGAGACCUACUCUUGAAUUUUUUGACGUCUGGUUAUUGAAGGAGUUGCUCAAUAGCAUUUUUGUUUCUGAUUAUGCUUAAGUUGAUCACAUGGCUCAUGUUGCAUUUGAGAUUGCUACGCAAAGGUGCGGCAAACAUUGUUCUGUUGAAAAGGGCCACAAGCCUACUAUUUUAGAGGGAAACGAGUGUGAAAAACAUAGCUAGCACUGCCAAACUGAUUAUGGAAAGUCAAGCCAUCGAAAGGCAAAAGCUAGAUGAUGCAAACUCAAGACAGAUUCUUAAUCCAGAACCAGCAACGCUGCUGUUCUACAGGAAAUAAUGCUGUUGGUGUCUGGCAACGUAACACAUAAACUUCUUCUUGGAUCAGUUGGGACCGUCCAAGACAACAAAGUUGCACAUAGGUUAAGGAAAUGUUGAACUUUUUGUUAAACAAUGGAAACUCCUCGUCCUCGGUUCUGUGACUCAAACGACCACUCGUGUAGCCUAGUUUUACGUAACAAACUUCCACGGAGUUGGUGAAACAUUAGGGGAGUGGCUAUCGAAACAAUGGCUUAUGGUCUUCUGGUGAGAAACAAACAAUAAAUAAGUGAAAAAAUGACAAUGUUCUCAUCGUAGUCACAGUUUUAAAUGGGAACUGGUGCUUGGAAUAAAAUAUUUUUUCUUUAAAUUUUAUUAAAAAAUGUUUUCAAACUUAAUUGUUAAAUUUUAAUACAUUGAAGACAAACAAGACUUCGCAUUU
Non-coding RNA from Camelina sativa (false flax), 2191 nucleotides. The record is from RefSeq and is a predicted model, not a curated record. NCBI's taxonomy places the organism in Eukaryota, Viridiplantae, Streptophyta, Magnoliopsida, Brassicales, Brassicaceae.